This is a non-coding RNA of Pelodiscus sinensis (Chinese soft-shelled turtle), 2912 nucleotides long. The record is from RefSeq and is a predicted model, not a curated record. NCBI's taxonomy places the organism in Eukaryota, Metazoa, Chordata, Testudines, Trionychidae.
GCUAAAUUCAUUCAGAGUCUAACUCCAUUUAAGGCAGUGGAGUUACACCCAAGAUAAGUUUGAUCUAUGCUCUUUAAUGUUGCAGAUACUAAAGAAUUUAAGUCCCAAUUCAGUUGCCACAUCAGUUUUAUACUAGAACGACUCCACUGGCUUCAGUAGAAUUGCUCCUGAUUUACACCAGCUUGAGAGGAGAAACAGGCCCUAAGCCUUUUUACAGGGCUUUGAGCAAGAUGAACCAAGUUUUCUGAUCUCCUCCUUUUUUCUGAGUAGGAGACAGGAACUGGCACUAGAGGAAAGAUAACUGAGAGAUAUUUUGAGAUGACCAGCUUGGGGAAGAAAUGGGUUCCCAGGAGACAACAGUCAUUCUCAUGGAUCUUCUCAAAACAAUUUAUCAACAUCCUUUUUGAACUGUGGACCCCAGAACUGGACACAGGAUUCCAGCAACAGUAGCACCAGUGUCAAACACUGAGAUCAUUGAUAAAAUUGUUAAAUAGUGUACGCCAAGAACUGACUACUGGAGGAUGCCACUGGAAACACACCCGCUCAAUGAUGAGUCCCCAUUUAUAAUUAUAUUUUGAGACCCUUUGCUGAGCAUGCUGCUGCAACAUGCUGAAGGUAUUCCACAAUAUAGGCAUAACCCUAAUGCCUGAUGACAGCUCUUUUUGUCAACAGAGAGAUGGGAUUAGAUCAGUUAAGUCGUAUCAGUUCCGAGUCUAGUAGGCCAACAGGGGCCAUAGAAGAUAGGGGGGAAGCUCUGGCCAACAGAAGAUUGGGUAGUGUGAUUCUUUCUUAGGCCCACUCAGUCCUAAUGCAAAGCUCAAUUAAAUCCCUAAAUUUCAGAGAUUCCACCCAUGCUAGUUUGUCUUUGAUAAUCAUUGGCUCCCUGCCUAACGUGGUGUCGCUGCACAGCCUCAAUCCAGUGGAUGUCUGUGGCCAGACAGAAAUUCAGCUGCAUAUUUAGUGAUAGUCUGGAGAUCCUGGUGGAGGAUCAUUCUUAUUUAAGGCAAUCAAAGAUGCCCACCAUUUUUUCUACAUAGUUCUUGAAGUUUUCAAAGAGAAGAUUGGAGCCCUCCAGGAGUGUGGACACUCAUUUUGGGGCCUCUUUUGUGAGCAGAUUAGUUAUUAAUCCUACCUUGGACCAAUUCAUGGGGUACAACUGUGACUACCACAUGACGAUAGGAGACAGUAUUGCUUAAGGAACCCACAAAUCUUAGCACAGUCCCAAUUAAACUAAUGGGUAGGAGCAUCUCAGACUGCUGGGAUGUGGAUGAGAGAGUUGGAGAAGGAGGAGACAGGAGCCACUGCCAGGGCUUGUAUCUAAACCUGAGGGAUGGGAUUCUGGUCACAUAACACAGUGACCUGAGUCCAUAGUUCCUGUGGGACCCCAAGUACAUCUGAGAGGGUGAGUUUCUGUUGGGGCCCUUCUAGAGGGGACUUCCAUGCUUUGGGGAUAAUGUUCCUUCUUAUGUUAGGGAUGUUCAAAGUCUCACACACCAAGGUGGUGUGACUGAAUGGUCAGAAUGGAGUCAUGCCUAGUGGUGGGAGUAGAGCCAGAAAGCAGAACCAGAGAAAUAGGGAAACAAGCCAACACUUAGCACAGAAGUCAGAACAGAACUAGAAAGUGGAACUGAAGUCCUGGACAGGAGGUACACCUUUGGUCAGGCAUCAGAACAGAAUUGGAGUUGUGGUCCAGAGACAAGACAGAGACCAGAGUAUGUAUGGAGGAAGAUAGAGACUAGGGCUGGAGUGGGAACAGGAGUGGCUUGGAGCAAGGACUGGAACAGAAAGCAGGUCUGCAGCUCUGGGAGUAGGACACAUGGAGCGGUCACUGCUCUGUUGUUACAUGGCUUAAAUGAUAAUCUGCUGGCUCUUCUGUCUCACCAUGGUGCACAGUCACUUAGUUAGAGCUUAUUGGUCCCAGACAAGCUAUUUAGGUUGCCAGAGACAACCCAACCUGGAGAAAGCUGAGUUCUGACAGAAGGCAGAUGCUGACUCAUUCAUGGCAUUAAUCUGUUUAAUUAAUCCUUGGUCUAUACCAUUCCCCCUGUUAUUCCAGCCUCAAGUCUCUUUUGAGCAGACAUUGCCAAUCUUUCUAAACUGAGGUAAUUUUAUAUGCACACUCAUGUUUACUAGAACAAGAUGGAGACAAUCAGGGUAUGUCUACACUGCAAAGAAAACCCAAAACACCAAGUCUCAGAGUCCAGGUCAAUAGACUGGGGCUCUUGGGGCUCAUGCUGCAAGGGUAGCAACAGCAGUGUACGUAUUCUCAUUUGGGUUGGAGCCCAGGCUAUGAGACCUUUCCCUAUUGCCAGGUUUCAUAGCCUUGGCUCCAGCCCAAGCAAAAUAUCUACUCUGCUAUUUUUAGCUCCAUGGUCCAAGUCCAACUCAGUUGACCUGGGCUCUGAGACUCAGCACUUAGGGGGUUUUCUUUGUGCUGUAGCCAUACCCUUGGACACAUUUCUUCACUUCUGACUUCAUUUACAUUUUAGCCAAGCCCCACAGUGGUAAAAUACUACUGCACCACCUCAUCUGCAAUAACUAUCAACUUACUUUCCUGCCUUUAUUAGGCUGAGCAUUCUGCGUGCUGGGUUAUUUUUAUUUACUACUUGUUUCAUGUUCCUUUUAUCAUAAAUGUGCUACACUUUGAACACUAUUUUGAUUACAAUUAGUGAAUUGAAUUUCUGGGAAUAGAUUUCUGGGGAUAGAUUAAAUGUCAUAUUCACAUCUCCUCAUUCAAAUGCUAUGAAUGAGACACAUCCACCCCGACUUAAUUAGCCACAUUAACGCUGGUCCUACAAUUGAGAGGUAACUUCUUUUGCUGUUAUAUAUACCCCAAAUUCUGUAAUUUCCACUCCAACUCAUCUGAUGAAGUGGAUUUUACCCACAAAAGCUCAUGACCUAAUAAAUCUGUU